UUGGAUGACCUUUGAAUAUCUUAUCAGAUUGGGCCUGACUGUUGGGUUUCUAUUUUAUUGGCCCAUCCUGUUCAAAUUCAAGUCCUUUAUCAGAUUAGGCUUAUUGCUCUGGGUAUCCAUUAUUCAGCCCUCCCUUAUUCCACUUCGUAUGUUAAAAGUGGGUAUGAUUCACUUAUGUCCUAUCCUUGGGCCUUUAUUGAAUUCUAAAUAUCAUAAAUCAUAUAUAGUUUUCCAUUAAACAUCCUGUUUAACUAAAAAACUAGGG
This 265-nucleotide long non-coding RNA is filed under the name Panax ginseng (ginseng). Its description in RNAcentral is "long non-coding RNA (PGIN_LNC004388)". The record is from RNAcentral. Lineage: Eukaryota; Viridiplantae; Streptophyta; Magnoliopsida; Apiales; Araliaceae.